GUCUCGGUGGUCUAACGGAUACGACUGGGGAUUCCGGUUCCUCCGAUGCGGGUUCGACUCCUGCCCGGGACGCCA
RNAcentral lists this transfer RNA (75 nucleotides) under Clostridia bacterium. RNAcentral's name for it is "tRNA-Arg". It matches the Rfam family "tRNA". Rfam says of the family: Transfer RNA (tRNA) molecules are approximately 80 nucleotides in length. Their secondary structure includes four short double-helical elements and three loops (D, anti-codon, and T loops). Further hydrogen bonds mediate the characteristic L-shaped molecular structure. tRNAs have two regions of fundamental functional importance: the anti-codon, which is responsible for specific mRNA codon recognition, and the 3' end, to which the tRNAs corresponding amino acid is attached (by aminoacyl-tRNA synthetases). tRNAs cope with the degeneracy of the genetic code in two manners: having more than one tRNA (with a specific anti-codon) for a particular amino acid; and 'wobble' base-pairing, i.e. permitting non-standard base-pairing at the 3rd anti-codon position. Lineage: Bacteria; Bacillati; Bacillota; Clostridia. The record is from RNAcentral.